Molecule: ribosomal RNA, 449 nt
Filed under: uncultured bacterium
Lineage: Bacteria
Description: partial 16S ribosomal RNA
Rfam family: Bacterial small subunit ribosomal RNA
Source: RNAcentral
AACGAACGCUGGCGGCAGGCUUAACACAUGCAAGUCGAACGCCCGGGCAACCGGGAGUGGCAGACGGGUGAGUAACGCGUGGGAACAUACCCUUUGGUUCGGAAUAACUCAGGGAAACUUGAGCUAAUACCGGAUAAGCCCUUAUGGGGAAAGAUUUAUCGCCGAAGGAUUGGCCCGCGUCCGAUUAGCUAGUUGGUGAGGUAACGGCUCACCAAGGCGACGAUCGGUAGCUGGUCUGAGAGGAUGAUCAGCCACACUGGGACUGAGACACGGCCCAGACUCCUACGGGAGGCAGCAGUGGGGAAUAUUGGACAAUGGGGGCAACCCUGAUCCAGCCAUGCCGCGUGAGUGAUGAAGGCCCUAGGGUUGUAAAGCUCUUUCGGCGGGGACGAUAAUGACGGUACCCGCAGAAGAAGCCCCGGCUAACUUCGUGCCAGCCGCCGCCGUAA